CCCCACCUCCUUCUAUUUAUGGAAAAUGGGUUGCGUAGGAGCUGAGCAUAGCUACGCAUCUAAAGUCUCUUUUGUUUUCCCUCUAUUUUUAGGUAUGCAUGCGAGUGUAGCUAUGCAUCCUAGCUACGGUUGGCCGCUUAGAUACAUUCCCUAGCUACGGACAAUUGAAGCUUCUCCUUCUCAUCUUUUGUUCUUCCUGGUUUAAGCUACGCAUGCCAGCGUAGCUAUGCUGGCUACAAAAAAUAUUUUCCUCUUUUAUUUACUAAACCCUCCAAGUUAUGCAUUUAGCCACUCAAUCUAAGGACCCUCAACCCUUAUGACCUUAUGUUCAAGUAUCCCAAUGACUCUGCUACCCUCGCAUUAGUCCGUACGUACAUCGAGGUCUCACUAAUUAUUCUCUUAAGCUCUAAUUAGGCUUAAUCCUGUUAGAAAUAUUUAUGGGGCUUUACAUGCACGUGGUGUAGUUAGAGUAGCGACUGAGGAGCCACCAGUAGUUCUCGUUGGGGGACAGGCACCUAUUGUCACCCAUGCACUUUAGGAGACCCUAGCACAUGUUUUGAGCAUGUUCGCUAUUCUAGCUUAGGCGGGGAUGAUUCCACUUGCACCAUACACAUCUCAGGCUGGGGGAGGAGCACUGACUCCCCUGGCCCAUACUCCAAAGCAGCGGGUCCAUGCAAUAAGGUCCCGGAGGUUAUGCUAGCGCAACCUAUUAUUCUGGUUCAGCCCAUGAUUAGGGUAGUAACAUCUGAGGAGGAGCAACUUAGACUUGAGAGGUUCAAGAAGUAUCAUCCUCCUAGCUACAGAGGAUGCGCAGGGUUAUCUAGAGAAGUGUCGUCUUAUUCUCCACACCAUGGGUAUUGUGAAGACGAGCGGAUUUGCUUUCACUACAUUCUAGCUGUCAGGAGCAGCGUGUCAGUUGUGACAGGCUUACGAGGAGAGUAGCCCAGUCGAUGCAACUUCACUUAUAUGGACUCAAUUUUAAGAGAUGUUCUUGGGAGAGUUUUCUCCCCAAACCCUUCGGGAUGCAUGGCACACGGAGUUUGAGCAGUUGCACCAGGGUGCUAUGAUAGUGUCAGAGUAUACCAUCAGAUUCAGUGAGUUGUCCAGACAUGUACCUACCUUGGUCUCUGCAGUCCGAGAGUGAGUCUAUCGAUUCAUCGAGGGGCUCAACUAUGGUAUUAGAUUUAACAUGGCUCAAACGUUAGAGACAGAUACUCCGUACCAAUAGGUGGUAGAGAUUGCGUAGAGGUUGGAGGGUAUGCACGGCCGUGAGAAAGAGGACAGGGAGGCCAGGAGGCUGUCACGACCCAAAUCAGAGGGCCAUGACUGGCACCCGGUGUCUACUCAACUGAGCGCCACACACCUUAUCCUUUUUUUUAUAAGACCAGUCACGGGCCAUGAUAGGCCAUAUCUAUAUAUAUAAUUAACAAUAUUAGAACUUAACUCACAUAAAUAAUUCAAAAAAAAAAGAUAUAUAUAGAUACAUAGGGGCCGACAAGGCCGUUGACAUGUCAUACCUAAAACUAUACACAGGAGACUGUCUGCAAAACCUAUACUAAAACAUGACCAUAAUAUAUAAGUCGGGACAGGGUUCCCGACAUCCUCAUAAAAUAAAAUAACAUAUAUAGAACGUGACUCGGCAAUACUCUAGGAAGAUGUGGAGCUCACCAACCAAAAGCUGAUAUCUGGAGGCAGCCUACAGUGGAUGGUCCUCACCUCGCCUAUCUACACCUGCGUGGCAUGAAAUACAGCGCCCCAGGAAAAGGGACGUCAGUAUUAAAGAAUGUAUCGAGUAUGUAAGGUAGAAAUAAAACGUAGUAAUAAGAUACUAUCUCAUGGAGGGAUAAGAGUCAACUUAUAACCUCUGACUUGCCGUUGAGGGCCAUAACUUAUAGAAUAACUGCCCAACUAAUCAUUGGUAACUGCCCGACCGGCCGUAGCACGGUGAUAAAUGUAUGACUGCCCGAUUGGCCAUAGCUCGGUGGUAAGUAUGUAACUGCCCAACCGGCCGUAGCUCGGUGGUAAAUGUCUGACUGCCUGACCGGCUGUAGCAUGGUGGUAAAUGCAUGAAGAUGCAUGUAUCACUAUAUUAUAAACAUUUAUAUAUUUUUCAUAUACCUCAAUAGAGACCUAGGAACGUACUUAGACAUACUUGAAUAUAACUUUACAUGAAUGAAUAAUAUAGACAUCUUUAACUGCUAAGAGUAGAACCACUUAUGAAAUAACAUUACGUUUACGUAUCAUUACUUGGAUCAUGCCAAAAGAAGAAAGGAUUAGCCUUAACAUACCUGGAGUAGGGAAAAAUCCGUAUGAUAUUCUUGAGAAAGAUUACACCGUACUCCCUUAAAAUUGCAAAAUCUCCAUUUGAUUUAUUGAAGAUCCGUGCCUUUCUACGUUAACUGUCGGUUGUCUCCUACGUUAGCUUCAGAUUGUAGCUUCAGAUUGCCUUACGUAGAGCCCUUCCUAUUCUUUCAAAAUGUUGGAAUAUAAAAGAUAUAUACUCUUUCAAAAAUGUUGGAAGAUAAGUAUUUUAGUUAUUAAAAGAUUUGUAGCUUUUCUAAUUACAUGGCUUGUCUUGGAAUUGGGUUGCCACCUAAUCUAAUAUGACUAAGAGUCAUUUAUUUUGUUAGUGGAUUGCUGCCACGUGGGGGUGGGGUUUUAAUCUUAUCCCAAACUCAUUAGUUAAUUAGGUAAUGUCCCAUUACCCGAUAAUUAACCAAUUACCCACAUAAUCAAGAAUUAUCUCAAAUUACUUAAAAUACUACUUAUUUUUUUACAUACAUCAUACUAUCACGGUCAUAUGGUACCUUGUAUGGUACUAGUCCAUAAAUUUCGGGUAUUAUAGCUCGGACCGUAUUUUAUCCCAAAUCGACAACCUACAACGAACCUCAUUUUCUUUGAUUCGUGUACCCUUUACCCUUCAUGGCACUUACUUAUCGCUUGUUAUAAAUAGCAUAAAUACGUUAACCUCAAGAUAAUCUCAUCCCCGAGUCUACGUCGAUUAACUGAAGACGAAACUUUAACGUACUAAUAUGCGAGAUGUAACAUCCUUCCCCCCUUAGAAACAUUCGUCCUCGAAUAUUUAAACUUGCAAGAUGUACAUACAUACUCGUCAAUUAUAAAUGUAUAUAUCUUCCCGGGAUAUACUCCAAUGAAACAAAUAUCAGUCUCUCACGGGGUCAGGAUGUCGUCCCUCCCUAAAACUACUUCCUAAGCCAUUCGUCACCUAUGACUCUAUUAAUCUAUCUUCUAGGCACUGACACCUACUAAUUGUAAUCUUAAUAACCGGGUUCAUAACUUUCUAUUCCAUUAUACUAACUUUCCCAAAAUCUUGCGUACUAUAUGUUGUUUCCUCCUUUGGGCGUUAGAGCUAUCAGGGUUCUAACUUCUUAAUGUUCUAGGUUACUCCCCUUUCCUCCCUUAGUCCACUAUCCUCGGGUUCUUACUUUGCUUUCAAGCUAGCCUUGGUUUCCCUUAACCCUUCAGACGUAAUUGCAACUCACUCUUACAUUAAUCAUAUUAACUGGGCAAUUUGCGUUAAUAAGAUCGAACAUUAUCCAUAGUCACAGUACCUGACACAUCAUCCGGUGUAGCCUCUGGGUCCUGAUGACCUGCCAAAGCAUAUAUGCGAUUCUGGCUACCGCCGGAGCUAGAUGCUCCACCCCUGCCUCUACCUCUAUCAGCUGAUGCCUGAGGGCCUCGCUCUUGAGGUCAUACUGAAGAGGAGGAGAUUGUUAUAGAUAUGGUGGGAUGAACCAUCCCGCUUCUGUCAUUUAUAGGAUAGUCCCUCAUGUAAUUACUAGGGUCUCCAUAGGUAUAACAUACAUUAGAUCCCUGAUGACAUUGUCCAGAAUGAGCUCUACCGCAUUGACUGCACCGCGGACGAGGCGCCCUCAUCUGCGUUGAAUCCCUCCAUUUUUGAAAACCCAAAAUUUUUGAGCCCUGACCUGAUUCAGAAUAGACAUAUCCCUUAUAAUACAGCUUCUGCAAUUGUUGGACACUUUUAACCGGAUAUGGUGACAUAGGAUCGCCCGGAAAAUCCUCAGGUUGCCUAGCAGACCUAGCCUUCUUACGCUGACCCUCGUCACGAUUCUCGUAUUGCUGUUGUUUUCGAUCCUCCAUAUUCUGAGCAUAAGCCUGGAUACGGGAAAUAUGCGAUCGUGAAACACUCAUUAAUCAGGUACGGACGUGAAACACUCAUUGAUAAAGAUUGAGGCUUUAUGGUCCGGAUUAGUUUUUUAUGAGUUUUAUUUGUGCUUUGAAGUUAUUUUGGUUAGAUUUGAGCCGUCCGGAGGUCAAUUUACCGGAGAAGUUCAUUUUUGAGUAUCGGUCUGUCUUCUUUGAGGUAAGUAUCUUGCCUAACUUCGUGUGGGGAAACUACCUCUUAGGAUUUGAGUCUUCUAUGCUAAUUAUAGUUCGUGUACCCGAGGUGACGAGUACGUGCCCAAACUUAUUUGUGGAAAAUUGGCCUUUUAGGGAUUCUUAGGUCCUUAUAUUCAUUGAAUAUGCAGUUGUUCUCGUUACGAUUACGUUUAUUAAUUUCUAGUUUCACUUCUACCUGCUUUUAUUGGAAUUAAUUGCUUCAUGAUCCACUCUUGUUGUUCAUUUGAUUCAUAUGUUCCUUAACUGAAAUUGUUAUCUCUUCUAUUGUCGUGUUGUCUUUUACCUAACAACUUAUCUUUAUCUGAAAAUUAUAAUUAUCUCUCCUGUAAUUCUUCAUCCUUAAUUGAGGUAAAUGAUUAUCCUUAUACUGCUUAUCCUUAAUUGAAGUUGUUGUAUCUCUCUCUUAAUUGCCAAACCUUAAAAGAAGUUAGACAUCCUAUAUUUUAGUUGACUUGUCCCUAUUUGGAAUUAUUCGUCUUGUGUUAGCUCCCUCAUCGUCGAACUGUACAUUGUGGACCGUUGUUACAUAAUAUUUCCUUUCUUGUUGAGUUGUUCUUAUUAUGACUAGCGUUCUCUAUUGUGGCUACUUCUUGUGAAUUAGUUCCUCAGUUUUCUUGAGUUCUGGAAUUUCUGAGUUGAUGUAUUUGUCGUAUCCUUGUAUUAUUAUAAUUGUUGUUGUUUUACUUAUUGUGGUGAUGCACGAGGUUUCUGCCGUGCAGUUGUUGUUAUUGUGAUGCACGAGGUUUCUGCCGUGCGGUUGUUGUUAUGGGGUUGCACGUGGUUUAUGCCGUGCUAUUAUUACUAUUGAUAUUUGCGCAUGUGGCGAGACAAGGUGGGAACAUUGUUAUGCACGUGUGGCGAGACAAGACAGUCACUUACUCUAUUAUUGCAAACGUUGGGAGACAAGGUGGGCUGUGUGAGGGAUUGAUUUGUGAUGAUUUGUGAUGGCCUGGGGGUAUUCUUGUUGUUGAUAUUUGUGUAGUGGUACACUUACCUAUGUGAGCUUUAUUUUGUAAAAGUUGUGAGAAAAUAUUUUACGUGUUGUCCGUUCUUUUUUCCUUAUGCUUAUUUGCUGGUAUGAACUAUGUUAGGACACUUGCACAAGCAUACACGCAGUUAAGCUCUCUUAUCGGAUAAGAGGUUUUCUUGAUAUUGUUGGGAAUAGAUGCUCACUCUUGUUUACUUACCUUCUACGUGAGAAUGGCUCUAUUAGCACGUGAGUCGUCAGUGCGGUUAUGAGGUGUUAUGAGGGCACAUGAUGCCAAGUGUUAGGGUUCAGGUAUUGAGACCCGUGAGUUGUGAUUUGUCCGAGGUUCGGUACCUCGUGGAGUUUGAUGACUAAAAUCUUAUGUAACGGUGGUUGUAGUUGCUGAGUUAUUACUUGUCUUUGUCGUAUUUGUGAUUCCGGAUUUAGGUUGUGUUCCAUUUACUUUUCUGUGUCCUUUUUAUGGUAUUCCGCUGAUACUUGUUAUUUCUUUUCUUAUUGCCAUUACUAUAUUGUGAGCCAUAUUGCAUAGUCUUUAUGUAGAUAUCAUAUUUCUAUUGUUCAUAUACUUAUACUUGUUCAGUUUGAUAGACCAGUGGGUGUCUUAACUGUUCCUCGUCACUACUCCACCGAGGUUAGUCUUGAUACUUACUGGGCACCGCUGUGGUAUGAUCAUUCUACACUUCUGCAUAUUUCUGUGCAGAUCCAGGUAUUUGUCGUUAGCAGCUGUGCGGGUCGUUGUUGUGGAGACUCACAAGGUAAACCUACUACUGCGUUCGCAGGCUUCAGAGUCAUCUUCAAGACUUUGUUUUGCACUAUUUAUUCUUAUUUCUGGACAAUUGUAUUUAGAAGUUUUCUAGCAAACACUCUGUAGAGCUUAUGACUUGUAUUACCGGUUUUGGAAAUUAUAAAUUUUAAGAGAUUUCUAUUUCAAAUUGUUAGAUGUUAUUUAAAUAAUGUUGCUGUUUCAAUUAAUGUUAGGCUUACCUAGUCCCUAAGACUAUGUGCAAUCACGAUACCCAAACGAAGGGGAAAUUAGGUCGUGACAAUUUAUUGGUUGAACAAUUCUUGUUACUUUUAUUCUUUCUUGUCUUACCGGUUUCGUCAGUAUUUGAUUAUUUGUGGUUUUCAUUGCGUGUUUCCUUCUUGUUAUAUUUUUGCUUAAGAUUCUGUCAUUAGUAUACCUUACUAAACUGCUUUGUUAUCAUUCAUUUCUCUGCUUUUCAUUACUUUCCGUUAUUAUAUUCUGUUAUGUUUAUCUUCUCCUAGUAGGUGUCUUGACCUGACCUCGUCACUACUCUACCGAUGUUAGGCUUGAUACUUACUGGGUACCAUUGUGGUGUACUCAUACUACGCUUCUGCAUAUUUUUUGUGCAGAUUCAGGUACGUUUGCUCAUGCUGGACGCUAGAGAUUGUUUGGUUUGCUGCUUCAGGAGACUUCAAUGUAUACUUGCCCGACGUCCGCAGGCCUUGGGGUCACCUUCCGUUAUCUUCUCAUUACUGUUAUUUCCCUUAUCAGACAGUGUUGUAGUAGACAUUUUAGAAUAUUCUGUAGAGUUGAUGACUCAGUUCCACUAGAUAUUAGGAGUUAUCUAUCAGUUGUGCUAUUGAGAUUUGUUACGAUGGUUUAAUGGUUGUUUUAUUAUUAUUUUCGCUAUUUCUCUAUACAUGUUAGUCUUAUCUAGUCUUAGAGACUAGGUGAUAUCACGACAUCCUAAGGUGAAAAAUUUAGGUCGUGACAGUGUAUUGCUUGGAAAGGGUACACAUUUAGGUAGUUGUAAAACAAAAACACUCCUAACGUAUGUGAGGAAUCAAUACGGAGGGUUAUUUGUGCGAUUAGGUAUAACGAAACCUUGGUGUAAUCUUGGUGAGCGGUGAACUAGUGCCAGCUAGCGUAGCUCGAAAGAAUACGUCUAGUAAAUUGUGAUAGUUGCUCGAAAGAGAAUUACGACACCCGAAGUACUCACGAUCGAUAGAGAAUACUUAGGCGAAAGUAUAGGAGACAUAGCAGGAAGAAUUUCAAAAAUUAGGGAAAUCAUAACUCUAGGCCUCCUUAAUUGUGUCUCUAACCUUUAUAACUUAAGCAUUGUUCGAACUCGUGUUUCUUUGCAAUAUUGAACAAUUGUAGCUAAGCCUUAGUUCUCUGUGGGAUUCGACUCCGGACUUUUAAACUGGAUUAUAUUUGCAAUGACCGCUUAAUCAUUUUUAUAAGGCAUAGUUGGGCGUGAUCAACCACAAAUAAAUAUUUUUUUUUAAAGCUUAUAUUGGUUUGGUGUCAUCAAAAUUAAUAUGUGAAACCUAGGGACUAACAUGAUGCCAAUAAAUUCAUUCUUUUUUCACGCAAUGGCGUGACACUAUAGCAAGUUCAAGCAACGUUACUCUGGUUGCCAUGCCAAACCUUCUUUGACUCUUUGCUUUCGUAACUUAAUAAGAAGGCAACCUUUUCUUUCUAUAAGAAUGUUGAGAGUGGGAUAAGUUUAUAAAAUUUUACUUCACAAGCACUUGAUUGCUUGUCAUAAUUCCAUGUCCUUGCAGAAAUCUACAGGACCAAAUACUUCAGCGACUCCGAACUGGCCACUCGCAAUAAUAGAGGAAAAAAGGACUAAUAUCAGACAGUAAUAUCUUGUAACCAAAUGGAUUUGCCAGUAGAAAUUGCCCCUCUUUCGACUAAUAGAUAUUCUUGACCCUAAUGCAUAGUGAAAAAAUGCCGACGAAAGAAGGAGCUUCUCUCUUCUCUGGUCAUACUCAUCUUUGAAGUCCUAAUACCUGGAGUUGCUUCGAUUGGAAAGUUAAAACAACCUUGAUGGAAGCAGGUUUGAAGCCUUUUGUGGCAUUGUUAAGGAAAAUUGAGAUUACUGAAAGAUAGAUACAGAAGCCCUAAUCAAAUCACUAGUAUAUUUGGAAGUAAUAGAGGUUGCUUGAAAAUCCUUUGUUUCAUCAAUUUCCUUUUUAGAACCCGAAAGUCGAAACUCAAAAUUCAAUCUUUAUACCAUACCUAUUUCUUGUAAUUAAUAUAUUUUUUCUGAAAAUUCAAAAAAUAACCUUAAUGGGAGGCGCUAUUGGGUAUGUCCAUGCUAUUGUAUAAGUGUCUAUCACUCGAUCUCCCUGCUCUUGUUUUCUUGUACUGCUGAAAUGAUGCUACUAAAACGGCACUUAAAUUUUUGUCUUCUAAAAAAUUUAACAAAUACAGUCUUUGAAGUUCAGAUAUUUUGCAUUGCAAUUUUUUAAACUUCUGAAGUGUUGUUUUUUAGUACUCUACAGAACUGUUUUUUCAAGUUUCGGAAGUGCAUUUCUUUUAGCAGUGCUGUUUAUUUUACAGUGAAGUAAAAUGCAUUAUUUUUAUACCUGCAAAUAGAACAACAAGUGCAGAGAUGUAGAAGAUUGAAGCAUUAUUCUUGACAAAGCGUAGCUAUUCUGAGUUUGAGAAUGAGCUUUCACGGAGAAUGAUUUUCACGUUAUUUGGUUAUCUCACGUGAGCGGCACAUGGGGAAAGGGGUCAAACUUAACAGCCCAUUUUGAAAAAUCUGUUAGGGAUAGGGCUUUCGACCAAACAUAUCACCUUAUAACAUACAUAAAGGACUAUAUCCAUAAAGGGAGAUAUAUUAAGGGUCAAAAUAAAGCAACCCCAAUACAUUAAGGACCAUUUUGAUUAUUUCCUCUUGCACAUUACUUUACUAUUUAAUAGGAAAGCUAGGCUUCGACGUGUCUGCUUAGAAGGUAUUUACUUUCAAAUCAAGAUUAUAUUCGUUAUUUUACUGCAUCAACAAACACCCACCGCUCUUCUCCUCUCUUUUUUUCUCCCAACAUACUUCAUUAGUUCAUUUCUUCCCUAGCACCGACGAGACCCCUCGCAUUCCCGGUUGUCUUCCUUGCCAUCAUUGAUGGUCCACAGAGAACCAACCUCUUCAUAACUUUCAAUUCACACACAACUUUUUAGAAGAAACCCAACAAAAUCGGCCCAAUUUCAUCCAUCAAAACCCUAACUCAAAAUUAGCCAAAUGAUCUACGAUAUAUACAAAGUUCUGUCUCUACUCCACUUAUUUCUACAAUUCUAAGGUAAAUUUCGCGUUUUGCUUGUGAAUCUAUUUUACAUUUGAUACACUUUCUUCUACUUAUGAUUUUUCACUUCGUCUUUCUAUAUCUCUAUUUGAAAAGAACAUUUAUUCUUUUUUGUCUUUCUGUUUGUUUCAAUAUUAUGCUGGAUUUAGAGGAAAAUUGUGGAAGGCUCAUUUGAUUAUUGAAUUUUUCUGUUGAAACUAUAGGUUGUGGUAAUAAUUUCUAUCUUAAAUCAGACAUUAGUAUUACACUUAGCUACUUUUUCUAUCAUUGCUCCAGUAACUUGUGGAUUAUUUGUAUGCCUAAAGAAAUUGAUUUCAAAG
RNAcentral lists this long non-coding RNA (9747 nucleotides) under Nicotiana tabacum (common tobacco). RNAcentral describes it as "long non-coding RNA (NTAB_LNC016835)". Lineage: Eukaryota; Viridiplantae; Streptophyta; Magnoliopsida; Solanales; Solanaceae. The record is from RNAcentral.